GGAGAGAUGCCCGAGAGGCCGAAGGGGCACGUCUGGAAAGCGUGUGUACGUUCAUCGCGUACCGAGGGUUCGAAUCCCUCUCUCUCCG
This 88-nucleotide transfer RNA is filed under the name Coxiella sp. RIFCSPHIGHO2_12_FULL_44_14. RNAcentral describes it as "tRNA-Ser". It matches the Rfam family "tRNA". From Rfam's summary of the family: Transfer RNA (tRNA) molecules are approximately 80 nucleotides in length. Lineage: Bacteria; Pseudomonadati; Pseudomonadota; Gammaproteobacteria; Legionellales; Coxiellaceae. The record is from RNAcentral.